UGUACACGCUGUGACUAGCAUAUCAAUAAGCGGAGGAAAAGAAACUAACAAGGAUUCCCUUAGUAACGGCGAGUGAAGCGGGAAGAGCUCAAAUUUGAAAUCUUCAAGGUUUUACCUUGACGAAUUGUAGUUUAAAGAAGUGUUUUCUGCUGAAGUUUUGGUAAAAGUUCUUUGGAAUAGGACAUCAUAGAGGGUGAGAAUCCCGUAUUUGACCAUUAUCUUCAGCUUUGUGAUACACUUUCAAAGAGUCGGAUUGUUUGGGAAUGCAGUCCAAAAUGGGUGGUAAAUUUCAUCUAAAGCUAAAUAUUGGCGAGAGACCGAUAGCGAACAAGUACCGUGAGGGAAAGAUGAAAAGAACUUUGAAAAGAGAGUUAAACAGUACGUGAAAUUGUCAAAAGGGAAGCGUUUGACACCAGUGUUGUUUUCUCGAAAAUCAAUUAAAAAUGGCUCGAUUUUGUAUUGCUGAGACCUUAAAAGCUCACCGUACAUUUUUCGUGUCUUUUUUAAUGCACUUUUCGUUUAACAAGUCAACAUCAGUUUCUUUUGUUGUAAAAAGGUCAUUGGAAGGUGGCUUUCUUUUCGGAGAAAGUGUUUAUAGCCUUUGACUCCUGCAAUCGGAGAGACUGAGGUCUGCAGCGUAGAUCCUUCGGGGUUAGAUACAUUUGUGCUAAGUUAUAGCUUUUUAUAGACAACUUGUUGACUAUAAUUAGUCUUGUAGCUUACUCGCUUAUGCUAUUUUACCUACGCUUAGGAUGUUGAACUACUGAGACAUAGA
RNAcentral lists this ribosomal RNA (775 nucleotides) under uncultured Neocallimastigales. RNAcentral's name for it is "partial large subunit ribosomal RNA". It matches the Rfam family "Eukaryotic large subunit ribosomal RNA", at positions 22 to 634 of the family's 3401-position model. The record is from RNAcentral. Lineage: Eukaryota; Fungi; Neocallimastigomycota; Neocallimastigomycetes; Neocallimastigales.